CGCCUGUUUAUCAAAAACAUCUCUUCUCGUUAGUUUUUGAAGUAUGGCCUGCCCACUGACCUUGAAUGUUGAAGGGCCGCGGUAUUUUGACCGUGCAAAGGUAGCAUAGUCAUUAGUUCUUUAAUUGUGAUCUGGUAUGAAUGGCUUGACGAGGUAUAAGCUGUCUUAAUUUUGAAUUGUUUAUUGAAUUUGUUCUUUGAGUUAAAAUUCUUAGAUGUUUUUAUGGGACGAGAAGACCCUAUAGAGUUUGACAUUUAUUACGGUCUCUUUCUGUUUGUGAGGGUUCACUAGGGCUGUCUAAUAUGUUUUGUUGGGGUGAUGGGAGGGAUAUUAUUUAACCCCUCCUUUGUGUUGUUAUAUUUAUUUAUAUUUGCUUGAUCCAUUUAUUUUGAUUGUAAGAUUAAAUUACCUUAGGGAUAACAGCGUAA
Molecule: ribosomal RNA, 428 nt
Filed under: Reticulitermes flavipes (eastern subterranean termite)
Lineage: Eukaryota; Metazoa; Arthropoda; Insecta; Blattodea; Rhinotermitidae
Description: partial 16S ribosomal RNA
Rfam family: Archaeal large subunit ribosomal RNA
Source: RNAcentral